AGACGGCCCGUCGUGUCACAGCACCACAAAUAUAUAGCUCUCGCUCGCUUAACUGAUUGACCGCGCUACUAGCUGUCAAGAACUCAAGAUCCAUCAGAUCUUACAGAAACAACAGCCGUCGGCUUCCUUGUUGGUGUUACUGUUCUUUUUCCCCCCCCUUUCUUCUUCCGUUUGGGCAGAGCUGAUCUGCUUGCUGAUGGCAACUGUUGUCGGCAGUAGUUGGUGGGGGUGUGCGCGUGGUGCGUAAUUGGAUGGACUGUCGACCACUGCUCAUGAACAGCUAGCGUCGUCGUCAGCAAAACAGCAACGGCCUGGCAACAGUCAUCGCCAGAGAUUGCAAUCUCGUCUCGUCAGGAGGUUUUAUUUAAUCACCGGUUCAAGAAACAUACGGAACACAUACUGGCUGCGUCUCCGAUCGAAACACACACAACACGCAGCACAGCUGGUGGCCACGCCGACCGUCGUCAGCACUCACUCAGCACUGCUCUGCCGACCACGGCUGCUCGGUCGUCGUCGUCACGGCGACCUGUGCAACAAGGCGAGUUGGAGUGGAAUUUACCGUGGUUCCUCUGUGCCGACGCCGCCGGGUUACCGCGGCGGCGUUCACGUACGGCCAGCAGCGCCGCGCGCCCGCGCGGUGCCACUCCACGUGACGUGACCCUUGACGGGACGCGUUGCUUUGUUGCAAGGCCGAGAAGACGUGUAGCUGGGCUGGAAUGUACUACAUGGGUUGGCCCAUACUCAAUAAACCAGCCCAGGAGCCGGUUACCGGAUAAUCAUAUCGGAAUCGGAACUGUACCGUCGUCUGCUCCUCUCCUUCAGUUUCGGUCUGCUUUAAUGAUACGACUAAACUUAGAUACGCUAUAUAUAUUUUUUUUCAGUUGCCAAUAUUAUGUUAGCAUUACAAGAAUCAGUUUCUAGA
Molecule: long non-coding RNA, 922 nt
Organism: Zea mays
Lineage: Eukaryota; Viridiplantae; Streptophyta; Magnoliopsida; Poales; Poaceae
Exons: 2
Source: RefSeq, a predicted model, not a curated record